GCUAUAACACUCACCGCGAGAGUCCGCGGCUUCAUUCUUGAAGUCAGUGAGACCAAGAACCCACCAAUUCCGAACACAUCAUCUCAUAUAAUCCUCAGAAAUUCCCAAGAAUGAUGGUGCUAUUGUUAUCUUUACCAUACAAAAGGGGAACCUGAAGAUCACAGAGGUUUAGGGACUUGCCCAAAAUCCCACAGAGCUUGGAUUAAAAAUCAGACCACCUGUCUCUUGAGCCUGUGUUCUCAGCCAUGUCUGUAUGUAAUGAUGUUUUACUAAUUUGGACAAAUGACAGUCCCCACCCUACCAUUAUACAGCAGGGGUGGAGUUCAUGAGUUCAAUUAGUUUGUUGAUGGCAAGUAAAGAUGCUACAUUAUCUGGUUGUAUCUAGAUGUUUUAUCUCCCAGACCACUGAGCAGCCACAGUUCCCAAAGGAGUAGCAAUUGGUCUGGGAGAGAGGGUUAAGAAGAGAGAGGAAAAAUUAAUUUCUCUUUCUCCUACAUUGUUUCUCUGAGUCCCAGGACAUGAUUGGUUAAGUGCCAACAGGAGUCAUGAUGACUCACAAUGCAGCUGAGAACCCUGUUACCAUUUGCAAUGACAAGAACUAAACACUAGCCACUACCACCAGGGUUACUCCUGGUUCAGGGCUGAAUACAGUCCACUGGGCAAUGAUCAGCAAUUCUGACUUCAAGAUCCAAUCACCCAGUGAAAGCUACAAGAGAACUCAGUACAAGAUAAAUGGGAAUGACAGUUGCACCCACCUCAAGGUGUUAUGAGGCUAGAUGAGUUUCUGCAUGUCAAGCCCUCAGAGAAGUGCCUGGCAAGCAGACAGUGCUCAGCUGAGGAGGGCUUUCUUGGUUGUGCUGUCUUUCUGAGGCAACGUGGAGUCUACCAGUCACGGACAAAGGACUCUCUGAAGUCAGUCCCAGCACAC
This 928-nucleotide long non-coding RNA is filed under the name Homo sapiens (human). RNAcentral's name for it is "HSALNT0408834". The record is from RNAcentral. Lineage: Eukaryota; Metazoa; Chordata; Mammalia; Primates; Hominidae.